ACCAUCUUAGCUCAGUGGUAGACCAUUUGUCUUUUAAUCACAUGGUCAUGGGUUCGAUUCCCACAGAUGGCU
This is a non-coding RNA of Thalictrum thalictroides, 72 nucleotides long. The record is from the annotation of a GenBank genome assembly. Lineage: Eukaryota; Viridiplantae; Streptophyta; Magnoliopsida; Ranunculales; Ranunculaceae.